RNAcentral lists this ribosomal RNA (637 nucleotides) under uncultured bacterium. RNAcentral describes it as "bacterial SSU rRNA". It matches the Rfam family "Bacterial small subunit ribosomal RNA", at positions 202 to 842 of the family's 1533-position model. The record is from RNAcentral.
UAAAGAUUCAUCGCUGAUAGAUAGGCAUGCGUUCCAUUAGGCAGUUGGCGGGGUAACGGCCCACCAAACCGACGAUGGAUAGGGGUUCUGAGAGGAAGGUCCCCCACAUUGGUACUGAGACACGGACCAAACUCCUACGGGAGGCAGCAGUGAGGAAUAUUGGUCAAUGGGCGUAAGCCUGAACCAGCCAAGUCGCGUGAGGGAUGAAGGUUCUAUGGAUCGUAAACCUCUUUUAUAAGGGAAUAAAGUGCGGGACGUGUCCCGUUUUGUAUGUACCUUAUGAAUAAGGAUCGGCUAACUCCGUGCCAGCAGCCGCGGUAAUACGGAGGAUCCGAGCGUUAUCCGGAUUUAUUGGGUUUAAAGGGUGCGUAGGCGGCCUUUUAAGUCAGCGGUGAAAGUCUGUGGCUCAACCAUAGAAUUGCCGUUGAAACUGGGAGGCUUGAGUAUGUUUGAGGCAGGCGGAAUGCGUGGUGUAGCGGUGAAAUGCUUAGAUAUCACGCAGAACCCCGAUUGCGAAGGCAGCCUGCCAAGCCAUGACUGACGCUGAUGCACGGAAGCGUGGGGAUCAAACAGGAUUAGAUACCCUGGUAGUCCACGCAGUAAACGAUGAUCACUAGCUGUUUGCGAUACACAGUAA